RNAcentral lists this long non-coding RNA (1189 nucleotides) under Sus scrofa (pig). Its description in RNAcentral is "lncRNA (ENSSSCG00015012174.1)". Lineage: Eukaryota; Metazoa; Chordata; Mammalia; Artiodactyla; Suidae. The record is from RNAcentral.
GCCCACGGAGUGGUGGCCAGGCUCCUGAGCCACAGACACGGUGAGUCCUGAAGGCUAAGGACUGAAUCCGGUCCCUCUCAAAUCUGCAUGUUGAAGGCCUACCCUGCACUGUGGUUAUAUUUGGAGAUGUAGCCUUUAGGGAGGUAAUUGAGAUUAAAACUGAGGUCCAAGGGGGAGCCUGAUCUGCUAGGACUGGUGCCCUUGCCAGAGGAGCGAGACGGACACCAGGGCUGCACGUGGAGAGAAAUGUGUAUGAGGACGGUGAGAAGGUGGCCCACAAGAGAGACCGCGAGAGGAAGUGAACCUGCUGAUACCCUCAUCUCGGUUUUCUGGCUUCCAGAACCCUGAGAGAAUAAAUAAACUUCCAGUCCGUGGUGCCCUGUUAUGAUACCCUCAGCUGACUGAUACAAGCUGCUCAGUUUGGGGGUCAUUUGUUACACAGCAAAGGACGACAAAUACAACCAUCAGCCGACACUGCAUUCCCAUUCCCUCUGGGCUGGGAGCUGGGUAGAACAAGACCAAAGCCCUGGCCCAUAAGAAUGGAUCUCAGUCCACACGGAAAGACAAACACAGAAGAUGAAGUAAAAGGCUAGGGUGGGAGAAGACCCCUCAGGACGAAGACACCGCUUGGGGAGACGUGGAUGCAGGAGAGACCACGACACAUGGUCCUGCCCGCUCUGUGCUCCCCCUGGGGACACAGGCUCGGCCGUCUCAGAUACAGCAUCCUCUCCACGUUGUAGCUGAUGCGUGGACGCCGAAAGAGGUUAUGUUGGCUGAGGUCCCGAAGCUCAUCCCGGAGUCGCCAGGAUUCACGGGCAGGAUGAAGCCCCCCGGCCCCAAGAGCAACCUCCAUUGGCAGCGGGGUCAUUGCUGAUGUGACUGGUUAAGGGGCAGGAGGAGAGUGAGCCCUGAUGAGCCCUGAAGGAGGCGCCUGUGCAGACGGACAAGGAGGAGCCCCUCGCGGACCCCAGCGGAGACCGAGGUCAGGAAGGGCGGGGCACAGGGCGGCUGGGGCUUCUGGAAGCUGAAAGCGGCAAGAGGUUCUCGGGCAGGCUUCAGAGGGAGCCCCGCCUUCCUGAGGCCUUGAUCUUGGACAGUAAGAGAAUAGACCUCUGCUGUUUCACCCCACUCCCCAGCCCCAAAUCCCCCAUCCUCACAGCAAGAAUCCCAGUGUCUUACUUAAAGAAGA